GAUAAACGCUAGCGGCAGGCUUAACACAUGCAAGUCGAGGGGCAGCAUAGAUUGUAGCAAUACAAUUGGUGGCGACCGGCGCACGGGUGCGUAACGCGUAUGCAACCUACCCGUCACAGGGGGAUAAUCCGGAGAAAUCUGGUCUAAUACCCCAUAACAUAUGGAUCGGCAUCGGUUCAUGUUGAAAUUUUCGGAGGUGACGGAUGGGCAUGCGUAGCAUUAGCUUGUUGGUGAGGUAACGGCUCACCAAGGCGACGAUGCUUAGGGGGACUGAGAGGUUUUCCCCCCACACUGGUACUGAGACACGGACCAGACUCCUACGGGAGGCAGCAGUGAGGAAUAUUGGUCAAUGGGCGCAAGUCUGAACCAGCCAUGCCGCGUGCAGGAAGACGGCUCUAUGAGUUGUAAACUGCUUUUGUACGAGGGUAAACCCAGGGACGUGUCCUUGGUUGAAAGCACCGUACGAAUAAGGAUCGGCUAACUCCGUGCCAGCCGCCGCAGUAA
RNAcentral lists this ribosomal RNA (504 nucleotides) under uncultured bacterium. Its description in RNAcentral is "partial 16S ribosomal RNA". It matches the Rfam family "Bacterial small subunit ribosomal RNA", at positions 28 to 523 of the family's 1533-position model. The record is from RNAcentral.